Molecule: ribosomal RNA, 232 nt
Filed under: uncultured bacterium
Lineage: Bacteria
Description: partial 16S ribosomal RNA
Rfam family: Bacterial small subunit ribosomal RNA
Source: RNAcentral
CGCACGGGUGAGUAAUAUAUAGAUAACGUGCCUCUUAGUCUGGGAUAGCCAUUGGAAACGAUGAUUAAUACUGGAUACUCCUUCUAACUCUAAUGUUAGUCGGGAAAGUUUUUCGCUAAGAGAUCGGUCUAUAUCCCAUCAGUUAGUUGGUAGGGUAAUGGCCUACCAAGGCAAUGACGGGUAGCGGGUUUGAGAGGAUGAUCCGCCACACUGGUACUGAGACACGGACCAG